CCGAACGCCGGUUCACUUCCACUGCCAUGACCACAACCUUCGUUCCCACAUUAACAUUAGUAUACAUCAGAGAGUGUAAAAACAUACGUUAGCUCCGGUGUUAAUCUGAUUACUAAGGAGGAAUAAGUUGAGAAGAUCUCAUCAAUUUCAGUAGCAGUUGACGUAGAUCAGUCAAUUAUAGAUGUAAUUCGAAUCGUCUGAGCCUUGGACUUCAAAUAUGGUUAUUACAACCUCGCUUACAUAUCUGAGCGUUGAAGGAUGUUUUGAUAAACAAAGGGGGUACUUAAUUGGUUGUUUUGGAUGGGAUUCCAGGACAACUAAAUCCUUGGAAACUUAUGCCAGAAUCGUGUGUCGAUGUGUGAUAAGGACCCCUGAAGAGCUGCUCUGCCAUGGUUGA
This is a long non-coding RNA of Helianthus annuus (common sunflower), 397 nucleotides long. RefSeq lists it as uncharacterized. NCBI's taxonomy places the organism in Eukaryota, Viridiplantae, Streptophyta, Magnoliopsida, Asterales, Asteraceae. The transcript has 3 exons. The record is from RefSeq and is a predicted model, not a curated record.